Molecule: transfer RNA, 86 nt
Filed under: Candidatus Komeilibacteria bacterium CG_4_9_14_0_2_um_filter_36_13
Lineage: Bacteria; Candidatus Komeiliibacteriota
Also listed under: 2 other names
Description: tRNA-Leu
Rfam family: tRNA
About the family: Transfer RNA (tRNA) molecules are approximately 80 nucleotides in length. Their secondary structure includes four short double-helical elements and three loops (D, anti-codon, and T loops).
Source: RNAcentral
GCCGGCGUGGUGGAAUUGGUAGACACGCAGGACUUAAAAUCCUGUGGCCAUUGGCCGUAUCGGUUCGAGUCCGAUCGCCGGUACCA